Molecule: ribosomal RNA, 446 nt
Filed under: uncultured bacterium
Lineage: Bacteria
Description: partial 16S ribosomal RNA
Rfam family: Bacterial small subunit ribosomal RNA
Source: RNAcentral
CCUACGGGAGGCUGCAGUCGAGAAUCAUUCACAAUGGGGGAAACCCUGAUGGUGCGACGCCGCGUGGGGGAAUGAAGGUCUUCGGAUUGUAAACCCCUGUCAUGUGGGAGCAAAUUAAAAAGAUAGUACCACAAGAGGAAGAGACGGCUAACUCUGUGCCAGCAGCCGCGGUAAUACAGAGGUCUCAAGCGUUGUUCGGAAUCACUGGGCGUAAAGCGUGCGUAGGCUGUUUCGUAAGUCGUGUGUGAAAGGCGCGGGCUCAACCCGCGGACGGCACAUGAGACUGCGAGACUAGAGUAAGGGAGGGGGAACCGGAAUUCUCGGUGUAGCAGUGAAAUGCGUAGAUAUCGAGAGGAACACUCGUGGCGAAGGCGGGUUCCUGGACAUUAACUGACGCUGAGGCACGAAGGCCAGGGGAGCGAAAGGGAUUAGAUACCCGAGUAGUC